Molecule: long non-coding RNA, 520 nt
Filed under: Salmo salar (Atlantic salmon)
Lineage: Eukaryota; Metazoa; Chordata; Actinopteri; Salmoniformes; Salmonidae
Description: lncRNA (ENSSSAG00000093734.1)
Source: RNAcentral
GACUAUUUGAGAGCUGACAGAGGUAUGAUGGAUAGACUAUUUGAGAGAUGACAGAGGUAUGAUGGAUAGAUUAUUUGAGAGAUGACAGAGGAAUGAAGAACAGACUAUUUGAGAGAUGACAGAGGUAUGAUGGAUAGAUUAUUUGAGAGAUGACAGAGGAAUGAAGAACAGACUAUUUGAGAGAUGACAGAGGUAUGAUGGAUAGACUAUUUGAGUGAUGACAGAGGUAUGAAGGGUAGAUUAUUUGAGAGAUGACAGAGGAAUAAAGAACAGACUAUUUGAGAGCUGACACGUAUGAUGGAUAGACUAUUUGAGAGAUGACAGGUAUGAUGAAAAGACUGAUUUGGAGGAUGACGAAUCCCUCUUCUGAGCUCCAUUGGUCAAUGCCAAGGUAUCUGUGGAAACCGAUGAUGUCAUGCUCAGCCCGUCCACCUCCUGGUCGUGAUCUGUCCAUCCCGGAUGACAAACGGAGAGUGACUCAGCAUUUCAUCUUCGCCCAUCCAUCUCUCCUCAUCCUUCU